AGACGUCAGCUGGUACCCUGGGGAGGGUUCUCUUCUCUUUUUGACUGGCUAUCACGCUGAAAUCAAUUUACUUGGAGAUAGGGUUCAAUGUCAGGCAAAGCAUCACAACUUUGUGAUGUCCGGUGCGUUCCAGACGGUCCGUGAAAAUCCGAGGGAGAGUUUCAUUUUCAUACCUAGUCGUACUCAUAACCGCAGCAGGUUUCCAGGGUGACCCUCUAGUUGAUAGAACAAUGUAGAUAAGGGAAGUCAGCAAAAUAAAUCCAUAACUUCGGCAAAAGGAUUGGCUAUAAGGGUUAUGUGCAUUGGGCCAUUGUUCAAAGCCUUGGAAUUUGCCUGGGACUACUCGAGUCGCAAGACAAGAGCGGAUUUGGGCUGGGUCUGGGUGUGGCGGACUUUGGCAUGGUUCACGGCGUCUGGUGCACAGUUAACAACCAACUUAGAACUGGCACGAACAAGGGGAAUCUCAAUGUGUAAUUAAAACAUAGCAUUGGGAUGGGUAGAAAAUAAUCUUGACGCAAUGUGAUUUCUGCCCAGUGCUCUGAAUGUCAAAGUGAAGAAAUUCAACCAAGUGCAGGUUAAUGUAGGGAGUAACUAUGACUCUCUAAAGGUAGCCAAAUGCCUUGUCAUCUAAUUAGUGACGCGCAUGGAUGGAUUAACAAGAUUCCCACUGUCCCGAUCUACCAUCUAGCAAGACCACAGCCAAGUGAACGGGCUUGGCAUAAUCAGCCGGGAACGAAGACCCUGUCGAGCUUGACUCUAGUUUUAUAUUGUGGAAAAACAUAGGGGGUGUAGAAUAAGUGGGAGCUUUGGGGCCGGUAAAAUACCACUACCCUUAUUGUUGUCUGACUUAUUUAAUGAAGCAGGAUUGGCCUUCACUGGUCCCCUUCUGGUAUUACGGCACUUCGCGUGGUAAUCUUGGUAGAAGAAAUCGUCAGGAGGGGAGUUUGACUGGGUUGGCACAUCCGUUCAAACAUAACACAGGUGUCCUAAGGGGAACUCAUCAAGAACAGAAAUCUUGAGUAGAACAAAAGGGUAGAAGUUCCCCUGAUUUUGAUCUUUAAUGUGAACACAAACCAUGAAAGUGUGGCCUAUCGAUCCUUUAGUCCCUGGGUAUUUCAGCCUAGAGGUGCUGGAAAAGUUACCACAGGGACAACAGGCUUGUGGCAGCCAAGUGUUCAUAGCAACGUUGCUUUUUGAUCCUUUAGUGUCAGCUCUUCCCACCAUUGAGAAGCAGAAUUCUCGAAGCGUCGGAUUCUUCACCCGCCAAUAGAGAACGUGAGCUGAGUUUAGAACGUCGUGAGACAGGUUAGUUUUACCCUACCGAUGAAGGGUCAUUGCAAUAGUAAUUCAACCUUGUAUGAGAGGAACCAUUGAUUUGUAUAAUUGGUUUUAGCGGUUAGCUGAAAAGCUAGUGUGGCAACGCUAUCAUGAUUCAGAUUACAGCUGAACGCCUCUCAGUUGGAAUGCAUGCUAGAAUGCAAUGAUCACUCCCUUUU
Molecule: ribosomal RNA, 1496 nt
Filed under: Blyttiomyces helicus
Lineage: Eukaryota; Fungi; Chytridiomycota; Chytridiomycetes
Description: eukaryotic LSU rRNA
Rfam family: Eukaryotic large subunit ribosomal RNA
Source: RNAcentral